Molecule: non-coding RNA, 26 nt
Filed under: Homo sapiens (human)
Lineage: Eukaryota; Metazoa; Chordata; Mammalia; Primates; Hominidae
Source: RNAcentral
UUCUCGACUGCCAGCGACAUAGGAGC